Molecule: long non-coding RNA, 657 nt
Filed under: Rattus norvegicus (Norway rat)
Lineage: Eukaryota; Metazoa; Chordata; Mammalia; Rodentia; Muridae
Description: long non-coding RNA NONRATT020062
Source: RNAcentral
ACCCCAAUUCAAGAACCUCUCAUACCCCAACAGCCGGAACUGAAUGUAAGGGUAGAAGACAGGAAGACGACAAGUACAAAAAAAUCCACCACUACCAACUGGUCAGCAUCAACCACCACAUCACCGCUAAGUCAAGACACACAAAAGACACUGAUAACACUGAUAGCUUUAAGCAUGGUCUGUUGAUUGAGUGGAUUUCUCCAACUAUCGUACUCUAUCCUUCAGGCUUCUAGAGAUAUCCUCCAAAGGAAUGCUAUAUCAGAGGAGAAAUAUGGACACAAACAUGGCAAACUCUAGCCAAAUUCUGACAACUCCUCAGUCACAGCCAGAGUCAACAAUAAAAGCUGAGAGUCCCUCACGAAGUGAAACAGCUGCAAAGAAGACUCUCAGAAGAGAAAGGUUGCAAAGACAGUUUUGAGACCAGAAUAGCUGUGUGGAAGAAGCAGAUACCAGGCCAGUUGCUUGGAAGAGGUAAACCUCUUUAUAACUGAGGCUCUUGGAAAGGACACUCUCCAACAUGUUGAGCUGCCUGAAAGCUCUGUAUUGUAUUCAAGGUUCUCAGCUUUGUGAACUAUCACCCACAGUGGCGUGGGCUUUGCUGUCUUUUGUGUCAUUUCUGCUCCUGUAAGCAACCCCAAUAAAACACAUUAGUUCACC